UACUAAAGAUAAACGGUCACAUAGUAUACAAUCCCUUUUAAUUAUCCACCCACUUAUAUGCCCUAACUUUAGUUUUCCAACCUUAUUUCACUUAAGACUCUAUAAAAGCUCUCUAACCCCCACUUGUUAAGGAUUAGAAAAUUAAACUAGUCAUUCCCCUUGAGUUAUCAAAAAAAAAAACCUAGUCAUUCCCUUGAGAGAGAGAAACUCCCUACCCUCUUGUCUAGAGUGAGAGAAUUUUUCAAUACCCUUCAAGGGUAGAACCAGCUUUUGGCAGGGUAGUUCAAGCAAGGGUUGAAUCAGAAGCCUAGUUCAGCUACCUACCUGUGGUCGAACUAGAAGUGGGUUCAAUACUGUUGGUUUGACCGAGGUCAGUUCAUCCCUUGUAGUGUUCGACCCUACAAGGGUUAAACACAGCCCUUUACGGGAAGUAGUGAAAAAAAGAAAAAACGCAGUUCCACCCUUAAGGGAGAGAAAAAGCUAGGAUAUAGUUCGAGCCUUCAACUUAGUCCACUUUUGAGUUGUCAAAUGCUAUGUCUAAGAACUCAAACGUUUUCUUUUAUAUCUUUACAUUUGUAUUGAUAGCUUUUGGCAGGGUAGUUCAAGCAAGGGUUGAAUCAAAAGCCCAGUUCAACUACCUGUGGUCGAACUAGAAGUGGGUUCAAUCCUUGUGGUUUGACCAAGGCCAGUUCAUCCCUUCAAGGGUCGUCUAGCUUAGUUCGACCCUACAAGGGUUAAACUUAGCCCUUUAAGGGAAGUAGUGAAAAAAGUUAACUUUCUCAAAACAAAACAAAAAAAAGGCACUAGUGAAAAAAAGAAAAAACGCAAUUCAACCCUUAAGGGAGAGAAAAAGCUAGGAUAUAGUCCGAGCUUUCAACUUAGUUCACUUUUGAGUUGUGAAAUGUUAAGUGUCUAAGAACUCAAACUUUUUCUUUUAUAUCUUAACAUUUGUAUUGAAAAAAAUUAGUCUAUGCUCUUGGAAAUACGAGUACAUCGUACUCCCACAGGAGUACCACUCUAGGCACCAUUCCUUAUGUAUGUGGAAGGGAUCUCAUCUUUUGUGGCUUUCUAUUCUCUUCUCUUUCUCAAAUUUAUUUUUGUUUGAGAUAUGACAAUCUUUCUAACUAUUCAUGAUGCAGGGAGAGAGAUUGUUUGGGGUAUUACUAUCUUAUUUAAUUGCCAUGUAUAAUAGAGGGAGAAAGAGAGUUUAGAAAAAAAUUACUUAGAGAGAUAUAAAAAACUCGUCUACCUGGUAUGUUACCUUGUUGGUCAACCCAUCUCCAACGGUUAUUUUCCACCCAAAAGGGAAGCCUAAAAGUUUUCUAUUCUUGGAUAUAGUUGUAGCUUCUCUCCCAUCCGACCGUAGGAUGAAACGAAUACAACAGCCAAAGAUAGAAGACCUCUUAGCGCAUUACUCUUAUAUCUCACUUGAAUCCAUUUGGAACCGAUAGUUUGCAAGCUUUGAGAGAGAGAAAGAAGAGAGAGAAGCAGAAAAUUCUAAAGAGGAGGAGAAGAUAGAGAGAGAGAGAAGCGAGUUUUGUGAGAGAGAGAGAGAAGCAGAACUCUCUAGAGAGUGGUGGAAGAUAGAGAGAGAAAGUGAGAGAAGCCUGGUUUUUUCUUUCCCUCUUCUCAGUUUGCUCUUCUCACUAUGACGUAUCCUGGAAUUGUUGUUUUUGUGCAAAAUCAAGAAAAGGGGAUGUUGCUCUUCUUACUUAUCAUAGGUUCCACAAAUCACCAGGAAGCUACUCCAAUUGCCAGAUCUCUAUGCUGGAAAUAGAUAUGUGGGCCAAAACAAUCUACUAUGGAGAUACACACAAGUUAAUCAUGGAAUCUAAG
This 1836-nucleotide long non-coding RNA is filed under the name Amborella trichopoda. RNAcentral's name for it is "long non-coding RNA (ATRI_LNC002762)". The record is from RNAcentral. Lineage: Eukaryota; Viridiplantae; Streptophyta; Magnoliopsida; Amborellales; Amborellaceae.